GAUGAACGCUAGCUACAGGCUUAACACAUGCAAGUCGAGCGGUUUGUGCUUUUGCACAUUCAGCGGCAGACGGGUGAGUAACACGUAUCUAACCUUCCCCUUACUUGGGCAUAGCCUCUGGAAACGGAGAUUAAUUUCCGAUGUGGUGUACAUUUCGCAUGUUUUGCGCACCAAAGAUUUAUCGGUAAGGGAUGGGGGAUGCGCUCCAUUAGGUAGUAGGUAGGGUAAUGGCCUACCUAGCCUAUGAUGGAUAGGGGUUCUGAGAGGAAGGUCCCCCACAUUGGAACUGCGACACGGUCCAAACUCCUACGGGAGGCAGCAGUGAGGAAUAUUGGUCAAUGGCCGGAAGGCUGAACCAGCCAAGUAGCGUGCAGGAAGACUGCCUUAUGGGUUGUAAACUGCUUUUUACGGGAAUAAUUAUGAUCACGUGUGAUUAUUUGUCAUGUACCGUAAGAAUAAGGAUCGGCUAACUCCGUGCCAGCAGCCGCGGUAAACACGAGAGUAC
This 505-nucleotide ribosomal RNA is filed under the name uncultured bacterium. Its description in RNAcentral is "bacterial SSU rRNA". It matches the Rfam family "Bacterial small subunit ribosomal RNA", at positions 28 to 535 of the family's 1533-position model. The record is from RNAcentral.